UGACAGUUUCAGGGCGGGGUGAGAUUCCCCACUGGCGGUAACGGCCUGGGCGCGCCCAGAACCCGAAGUCCGCGACCCGCUAAAAAGGCGGCUGACCUGGUGAGAUUCCAGGACCAACGGUUACAGUCCGGAUGGAAGAAACGGAGG
This 147-nucleotide non-coding RNA is filed under the name Olsenella sp. RNAcentral's name for it is "FMN sequence". It matches the Rfam family "FMN riboswitch aptamer (RFN element)". From Rfam's summary of the family: The RFN element is a highly conserved domain that is found frequently in the 5'-untranslated regions of prokaryotic mRNAs that encode for flavin mononucleotide (FMN) biosynthesis and transport proteins. This element is a metabolite-dependent riboswitch that directly binds FMN in the absence of proteins. The record is from RNAcentral. Lineage: Bacteria; Bacillati; Actinomycetota; Coriobacteriia; Coriobacteriales; Atopobiaceae.